Molecule: ribosomal RNA, 492 nt
Filed under: uncultured bacterium
Lineage: Bacteria
Description: partial 16S ribosomal RNA
Rfam family: Bacterial small subunit ribosomal RNA
Source: RNAcentral
AGUGAACGCUGGCGGUAGGCCUAACACAUGCAAGUCGAACGGCAGCACAGUAAGAGCUUGCUCUUACGGGUGGCGAGUGGCGGACGGGUGAGGAAUACAUCGGAAUCUACUUUUUCGUGGGGGAUAACGUAGGGAAACUUACGCUAAUACCGCAUACGACCUACGGGUGAAAGCAGGGGAUCUUCGGACCUUGCGCGAUUGAAUGAGCCGAUGUCGGACUAGCUAGUUGGCGGGGUAAAGGCCCACCAAGGCGACGAUCCGUAGCUGGUCCGAGAGGAUGAUCAGCCACACUGGAACUGAGACACGGUCCAGACUCCUACGGGAGGCAGCAGUGGGGAAUAUUGGACAAUGGGCGCAAGCCUGAUCCAGCCAUACCGCGUGGGUGAAGAAGGCCUUCGGGUUGUAAAGCCCUUUUGUUGGGAAAGAAAAGCAGCAGGUUAAUACCCCGCUGUUCUGACGGUACCCAAAGAAUAAGCACCGGCUAACUUCGUG